AGUGAACGCUGGCGGUAGGCCUAACACAUGCAAGUCGAACGGCAGCACAGUAAGAGCUUGCUCUUACGGGUGGCGAGUGGCGGACGGGUGAGGAAUACAUCGGAAUCUACUUUUUCGUGGGGGCUAACGUAGGGAAACUUACGCUAAUACCGCAUACGACCUACGGGUGAAAGCAGGGGAUCUUCGGACCUUGCGCGAUUGAAUGAGCCGAUGUCGGAUUAGCUAGUUGGCGGGGUAAAGGCCCACCAAGGCGACGAUCCGUAGCUGGUCUGAGAGGAUGAUCAGCCACACUGGAACUGAGACACGGUCCAGACUCCUACGGGAGGCAGCAGUGGGGAAUAUUGGACAAUGGGCGCAAGCCUGAUCCAGCCAUGCCGCGUGGGUGAAGAAGGCCUUCGGGUUGUAAAGCCCUUUUGUUUGGGAAGAAGAGCAGCAAGUUAAUACCUCGCUGUUCUGACGGUACCCAAAGAAUAAGCACCGGCUAACUUCGUG
RNAcentral lists this ribosomal RNA (492 nucleotides) under uncultured bacterium. RNAcentral describes it as "partial 16S ribosomal RNA". It matches the Rfam family "Bacterial small subunit ribosomal RNA", at positions 29 to 507 of the family's 1533-position model. The record is from RNAcentral.